UACGUAGGGUGCAAGCGUUGUCCGGAAUUAUUGGGCGUAAAGAGCUCGUAGGCGGUUUGUCGCGUCUGCUGUGAAAACUCGGGGCUUAACCCCGGGCCUGCAGUGGGUACGGGCAGACUAGAGUGCGGUAGGGGAGACUGGAAUUCCUGGUGUAGCGGUGAAAUGCGCAGAUAUCAGGAGGAACAUCAGUGGCGAAAGCGACUUCCUGGACCAAUACUGACGCUCAUGUGCGAAAGCGUGGGGAGCAAACAGG
RNAcentral lists this ribosomal RNA (253 nucleotides) under uncultured bacterium. RNAcentral describes it as "partial 16S ribosomal RNA". It matches the Rfam family "Bacterial small subunit ribosomal RNA", at positions 524 to 776 of the family's 1533-position model. The record is from RNAcentral.